UGGGGAAUAUUGCACAAUGGGCGCAAGCCUGAUGCAGCCAUGCCGCGUGUGUGAAGAAGGCCUUCGGGUUGUAAAGCACUUUCAGCGAGGAGGAAGGUGGUGAACUUAAUACGUUCAUCAAUUGACGUUACUCGCAGAAGAAGCACCGGCUAACUCCGUGCCAGCAGCCGCGGUAAUACGGAGGGUGCAAGCGUUAAUCGGAAUUACUGGGCGUAAAGCGCACGCAGGCGGUUUGUUAAGUCAGAUGUGAAAUCCCCGGGCUCAACCUGGGAACUGCAUUUGAAACUGGCAAGCUAGAGUCUCGUAGAGGGGGGUAGAAUUCCAGGUGUAGCGGUGAAAUGCGUAGAGAUCUGGAGGAAUACCGGUGGCGAAGGCGGCCCCCUGGACGAAGACUGACGCUCAGGUGCGAAAGCGUGGGGAGCAAACAGAUUAGNUACCCUGGUAGUCCACGCUGUAAACGAUGUCGAUUUUGGAGGUUGUGCCCUUGAGGCGUGGCUUCCGGAGCUAACGCGUUAAAGUCGACCGCC
RNAcentral lists this ribosomal RNA (527 nucleotides) under uncultured bacterium. Its description in RNAcentral is "partial 16S ribosomal RNA". It matches the Rfam family "Bacterial small subunit ribosomal RNA", at positions 355 to 873 of the family's 1533-position model. The record is from RNAcentral.